RNAcentral lists this long non-coding RNA (10693 nucleotides) under Medicago truncatula (barrel medic). RNAcentral's name for it is "long non-coding RNA (MTRU_LNC004702)". The stretch from base 1260 to 1333 matches the Rfam family "MIR5272 microRNA precursor family". Lineage: Eukaryota; Viridiplantae; Streptophyta; Magnoliopsida; Fabales; Fabaceae. The record is from RNAcentral.
UCUCACAUGAGCAAAGCUAGAAAUUUUUUUGGAGCUAAAGAAAUGGACAACACAAAUUUUUCUUAUCUCUCUCCAACAAUCAUUGUAUGGUGAAAAUAUCAUAUCUAUACCAUUAUAUGACAAUGUUUUUGGACCAUGUGAUGGAGGUCUACUAGAUACAUCAUGAUCAUGAUCUUUGAGAAUUUCUUGAGCUAGUUUAGAUGAGCAAACAACAAUUGCUUUCUUGAAACCAAUUUGAAGAGAGAAAAGAGGACCAUAGAUUUUUGAGAGAUUCCAAAAUUGUAAAUGGAGAUUUGAAGUGUCAAGUUGAUGGAGAUUUCCAAUUAUAGGAAGACCUUUUGGACCCUUUGGAAAGGUUGAUGAUGAUGAGUUCUUGAUAUUGGUUUUGUAUUUCAUGAAAAGGAAAAAUACUAAUAAAGGUAAAGCUAGAAGUGUGUGAAGAUAUGACACCAUUGUUGUUCAGAGCUCUGCAAACAAAUCUCACUAUGAAAAAUAUCACAUGUGUGCUCUCAUAACAAAUUAUAUGCUUUUUGUACUUAUGCUGAGUUUGACAAACAUAUGAAACUAUUAUGAUGUUUGUGUCUUCCUAAUAUACUAUAAUAUAUCUAUGUCACUAUCUACUUUUUUAUAUUAAUUUAAUUUAGGGGGAAAAUACAUUGAAUUGUACACCUAGUUUUCAAAUGUAACUUCCCUUGUAUUUAUUUUAAAAAAAGUGUUGCACUUAAGAUUAUGAUGUGUUCUAUGCAAAUUUCCCUUAUUUUAAUGAUGAGAAAGACUCACCACGAGUAUUUUAAGGGUACUCUAUCUUAAAUAAUAAUUUUUUAUGGAAAUUAAAUAUUCAAUUUAUUGAAAAUUGAAUUAUUUAAUUUUUUAAAUGAAUAGUUUUUUUUCUUCAAAAAAAAAUUGAAUAAUUUUUUAAUUUAAAAUGCUUCAAAGAGUAUUCUUAUAACACUCCCUAACUAUAUUAAAUGUUAACUUGUGCUUCACCAAAAAAAAAAUGUUAACUUGUGUCUUGCCCUCAAGGCACAAGUUAAUGAAUUAAAUAUAGAAAUAAUGAAUUGAAUGCACAAAAUUUUAAAAAAUAUUUCUUCUUUUAAAUUUCUUAACAUAUGCUCUAAGGACACAAAUUAAUACUACACUUUAAUUAUUUACAGCCACCUCUUGACUCUUCUAUUCUUAGUGUGUGUUUGUUAUGGCGGUGGCGAGAAUUGAUUUUGAUAGAAUUGAGUUUGAGAGAAUUGAUUUUGGUUAAAAGUGAGUUGGAUGUGAAUUGAUUUAUGUUUGGAUACACUUACUUAAAAGUGAUUCUUACGAGUUGAUGUUGUUUGGAUAGUAUAAAUCAAAAUUGAUUUUAAAUGUGUAACGAUCAAAGUAUCCUUUUAAUUGUAUUUAGAAGUAAAUAUCUCAUUCACAUUAGAUAAUUAUUUCAGCUUAUUAUAAAUUGAUUUUAUUGAUUUAAAAAUUCAAUUUAAAAUAAUAUUAAUUUAUAAGACUUAUUUUUAAUAAUUUUUUUUUAUCAAUUAGGUGAUUUUUAAUAGAAUAUAAGCAUCAAAAAAUAAUGCAAUUAAAACUUAAAAGAGAUACAAUAUGCGCUCAUUCAAAAAUAAAUAAAUGCAGUUUAUGUAAAAAACAACAUUGACCUAAAUGGGUUUAAUUAUAUAAAUAAAUUUUAACUAAUAGCCGGAAAAAAAAAAUCUACAGAAUCAAACAAAACACCCCAACUCAACCCAAUAGUAAAAAAAAAAUCAUGAAUUAAAAUUAUGUUUUCAACGUGCCCAUGUCUUUCACUUUCGAGAAGCUUCAAUCCAUUUCUCAACACUCUUCUGCCACUUCUCUUCCCCAUAUAUCAACAUUCUUAUCUUAUUUUACCAUUUCUCUCAAGCUUAUAAGGAAAAAAAAAAAACGAAAUUAUAUGGGUUUGGGUUUAAGAGGAAAUGACAACAUCCAUCUGAUUUAAGUGGUAGAUUUGAGACAUGUGAAGAAGAGGAAGAAAGUUGUGGUGAUUAUGGAUGUUGUGAAGAAGAAGAAAGUUGUUAUUGAAUAGGAAAUCCAAGAAAUUGUGGCUAAUAAGGUAAAUUUACAUGUCAGCAGAAAUUAAUUAUUUGGAAUCGAUUUUUCUUUGCCGCAGAAGCUCCAAUUCCUGGUUUUGAAGUAACUCGCGUUUGGGGCUAAAAUCACGUUUUCUAAAAUUGAUUUUACAAGUUAUCCAAACAUCUAUUUCAUAGUUCAAACCGCGUUUGGGACUGCAAAAACACGUUUGGAGCUUGCAAACGUGCAACCAAAUAUAUACUUAGUGAUUUACAACUAUUCUUAAGAAAUAUAUGUACCAAUGAGUAACUUUAUUUUAGUUUCGUAAUCAAUUUAGUCUUUACCCGUUGCAUUAAGAGUUGGUUCAAAGAAUGUCACAAGAAAAUUGAUUUUCAAAGUUUGGCUGUGGUGCCCCUAGAUAAAUAUGCGUUAUUAUUGAGUAGAUGAAUGGCAUCCUUGACUGAAUUGGCGGUGACUAUUUUAUUGAGUAGAUGACAAUUUGAGUAAAAACAAAAGUACAUACAAGUAUAGAUAAAUAUGCAUUAACUAUUAUGAGGACAACAUUUUAUAUAAUAAAUGUUUAUACAAUUUUUUAGUAAAGUGUAAGUGAUAAAAUAAUAACAUCAUUAUUAUUGAAAACGAUUUUAUUUACAGGUGUUCCUUGGACACCCGUUAAGGAAUUUAAAAAUAGAAAAUAGGGUUAACGAAGUUUUACCUCCUGUAAUAUAGGUAUUUUCGAUUUUUUUCCUGUAAAAUUUUUGUUUUUAUUUAUCCUCUGUAAAAUAUUUUUGUUUUGGAAUACCCCUCUAAUAGGUCAUUCAAAAACGAAAAUUUCUACAAAAAUAAAAAUAAAAAAUUGUUUUUGAAUGACCUAUUAGUGGGGUAUUCCAAAACAAAAAUAUUUUACAGGAGGGUAAAUCAAAACAAAAAUUUUACAGUGGGAAAAUCGGAAAUGAUCAAUAUUACAGGGGUAAAACACUAUUAACCUUAGAAAAUAUAUUUUGGAAAUAUAAGCUUUUAUUUUUUAUCAAAUAAUUAUUACACCACUUUUUAAUAAAAUCUUACUUCCUUUGAAUGCUUAACCAAUACCGUUGGAGCACCGUUUAACAUUCUCCGUGAAAAAAAACUUAAGAUUAUAAACACUACACUGUUAUAUUUAGAAAAUGAAAGAUUCAUUAACUUCUAUGAAUUGAAAUUGUUCUUUGUAUCUUUAAAUGAAAAAAAAGUAUUGUAGAAUUUUCUAAUUUUCAACACUAUAAAAAAUUCUCUCUUAUAUGUAGGUGAAAAAAAGCAUUCAAAAUUUCAUCUGAAAUGCAUUUGUACAUUUGGUUCUGUAUAAUUCAUGAGAGAAACUUUUUUUAUGGUAUAAGUUUUCAAUUUGUGGGGACAAUUUAUUAUUUUAAGAGGGAACAAUAAUUAAAAUACAAAUAUAUCAACACAUAUAACAUAAACAUUAGUUAAAGAUGGAAAUGCGGGUCGUGAAUCCGACAUACCUACCGUUAGAGAUGGCAAUGCGGGUUAACCUGCCCUGUUUAUGUCUGACCCGCUAUUAGCCUGCAAAAAAUGGAAUGGGGGCGGGCCAACUUGAGGUGGUGGGCUCAAAUUUACACCUCGUCCCGCCAAUAGGCAAACAUGCGGGAUGACCCGUCUAACUUUUUUUAACUAAAAUUUAAACACGACACCGCUAAAAAGCCUGGAUGUUAAUAUUUGUUUCCUUUCACUUUUUGUAGGUUUUUGACAUUAUUACAACAAAGCAAAGAAGUUGGACAUAAGUACAUUCAUUGGGCCACCAAAACGAGAUGAAGGCGAGAAAUCUAAGAGAGUUAAAGGGAGAAAAAGCUAUAGCAACUUCGUUGGACAAGAAACACUUCACCAACGAAUUAAGUUGAUUUAGUGAUUGAGUCGAAGACCAGCUGACUGUUCCUUCUGAGUGACAAAAUCUCGAUUUGCUAAGUAAACAAGAUUUCAAUCAACGAAUUUGCACUUUUGUCGACGUGCAAUCAACAAACGAUAUUUUGAUUUAGCAAAUGCGAGACAUCGAUUUAUUAUUUAAGGGACAUGUUUUAAACCAUGUAUGAACAUUAAUGCCUAGACUUAUGGUUAAGUUUAUAUUCAUACUCUGGUCAUAUGUAAUUAAUCGACUAUUUCGCUUUGCAUCGAAUGUCGAUUGAUACGAUAAGGGAUAGGUGAAUUUUUAUUUGAAUCAUAGAAAAUUAACAAAUUUUUAUUCACAAUUUCAUUAACAAACAACUUUUAAUCUACCCGAUUUAGAAUUUCUACAAACUGAAGAACAAAGUGAACAAAAACGUAGUCUUUAUGGUUCGAUACAAUUCUUUGAUAAACCGGCAGUCCGGCACGAUACUUAUCAUUGUGCAAGUGAAUACUAAAAUUCAUUUUUUAUCGGUAACUCUACUCACCAUUUGUUGAUGGGAUGUAGUUGUCACCUUAAUUAAAACAAGAAAAAACGGGUCUAUGAUUAAGGAUGUAUGAAGUAAUUUUUAGUCCAAAAUGCUUGUUUCCAAAAAGGAAAAUGAAAGAAGUAAAACAUGUGACUCCUCCAUGAUUCAUUCUUACUCUCCUCAAUGUCACAGACAAUAGCAUUCAUCCUUCAAUGACGUGGUGGUACGUAUCCCCUCAUGGCAGUGGCGUAGCCAGGAUCUUGGAGUAGGGGGUUCAGACCUUUCAACUUUACCAGAGCUAUGAAAGUUUUGUGCAAUUAUUUUUUCUUUUACAUAUCAUUUAUUUAUACUACUAAAUUUAUAAUUUUCGUCAUUUUUUUCCAAUCAAAUAUCUAUUUUUUUUGCAUAAAUGUUUAAUUAUUAUUUUUUUAUAUUUUCCAUAUUUUGUAUAAAUUAUAAAUUUCAAAAUCUAUCAAAUCAAAGUUAGAAUUUGUGUAAAUUAUAAAUUUAUAAUUCUAAAGCAUAAUAAUUUGGUGUAUAACAUUUUGUGUUGAAAUAUGUUUCAUGGAAAGAAGUAAAAAUAAUUUACAUAAGUUAUUGGUUACGGAAAAAAUGUGAGGGAGAGUAAUUUGGGUACACCUUGCAUUUGAGUUCAUGAAAAUUGAGAAUAAGUAAGAUUUAUUUUAUUUUAUUUAGAAAAGAUGACAUUUGAAACCAACUUGAUUAAAUAGGGUAAACAUUUGUCAAUUUUAUUUAUAAAUUUGGGACAAAGAAAGUGAACUUUUCCUGUUAAAAUUUAGGAUGGUUGGAGUAUUAAGUUAUGAAAGAAUAUAAAAUAUUUAGUAAUAUAUAUUAUAUUUGCAAGAAUUAAACUCUGCGACAUACUUUGUUUAAUGGUAAAAGCUUCUUAAGAGACUUUUAGGAUUUGUGUUCUAUCUUCAAACACUUCAUUUUUUCUUUAGAAGGAAUUCAAUUAUUACAAUUACAAUUAUUAAUAAGAAAAUAAAAGAAAACAAAUGUAAUAGGAAAAACCAAAUAGAGAGUUGGGCUUUUAAAAAAUAGAGUUAUAUCAAAAAGGAAGUCAAUUAUCUCUAGUUGAGGCAAAUACUAUUGUGCUAACAUAAAAGUGAGACUCGUGUCAUUCAUAGGGUGAGAGAAACUUGGGUUAUUGGUGCAAAAUGUUUGGCUCAAUUGCAAUGUUAAAAUAUGAGGAGGUUCAUCCUUAAAAUAUCAGGAGGUUCAAGCACUAAUAAAACAGUGCAAUCAUGUGCAAAUUUUAAAAGCUCAGGGGAUGCAAGUGCAUCCCCUCACUUAUAUGUGGCACCACCACUGCCUCAUGGCUCCCUCAUUCUUCUGCUUGUCUUCACCUUGGUUGCUCUUAUUCUCUUUCUUUUCCUUAUUAUCAUAUCUGGAAGCUUGAUUUGGCUAUUGUUUUACUUCAAAGGUUUGUUUUUUUAGCAUAUGUCUUUACCCUGUAAUUUAGGCGAGUUUCGAUUUAACCUCCUAUAAAAAAAAUGUUUAGAUUCCAACCCUGUAAUGUAAAGAUUCCUUCGAAAUAGAUCCUGUAAUUUGAAGAUUCUUUCAUUUUAAACCCUGAGGCCAUAUGACUGUGCAAACAUAAUGACGUGGCACGUUGACUGUAUAAUUAACUUUGUUUUUAAUUUUUUUAUUUUCAUUUAUAAAUAAAAAAACUGAAAAUUAAUUUUAAAAAUAGAAAAAAAAUCAGAUUUUUUUUAAAAUUUAAAAAAUUCGAAAAAUCAAAAACAAAUUCAGAUUUAUUUUCAAAAAAAAAUAAUCUGAAAUUAAGAUUUUGAAAAUUAAAAUAAAAUCGUUUUUUUUUCAGAUUAUAUAAUUUUCAAAAUUUUAAUCUGAAUUAUAAAAAAAAAUAUAUUCAGAAUUUAAAAUAUAAUUCCAGAAUUUUUAUUUUUGGUAGAAAAUUUUUUAAAAAACUUUUUAAUUUCGAAAUAAAUCUGAACUUUUUUUUAAUUUUAAAAAUUAAAUUUCAGAAGUUUUAAUAUUUUUUUAGAAAAUUCGGUUUUCUUCAAAAAUAUAUUGUUUUUUACGAUUUUUUUAUUUUCGAAAAUUAAUUUUCAUAUUUUUUAAAUUAUUUUUUAUUUUUAAAUUAAUAUUUUUUUCAAAAUGUCAUGUGUGCCCUUUAAAAAAAUAAAAGAAAAUUAAUUAUACGGUCAGCGUGCCACAUAAUUAGAUAUUCACAGUCAGCAGGCCACGUAAGCAUUUUGCCCAGUCAGAUGACCUCAAGGUCUAAAACGAAAGAAUUUUAAAUGAGUAAAUAGUCAAUUUCCCCCCUGAAAUUGUAAGUUUCAUCAAUUACCCCCCUAAAAUUAACAAAACUUCAAUUACCCCCCUGAAAUUUCACAACGUUAGUCAAUUUACCCCCUCCGUCAAAUUUUUCUGUUAGUGCACAUGACGUUUUGCAAAUACCCCCUGAAGUUUUGCACUUAUGUGCAAAAUGCCCCCCAAACUUAAAAAUUUAUAUUAUUUUUUUCUUAAAAACAAACAAUUAAUAGUUAAAUAUUAAAACUAACUAUUAAUUUUGGAAUUUGGGAAAACUACAUGCAUAUAUACAUCAAAAUAGGCUCCAAAAUGGGGAAAAAUAUGUAUUUUUUAAAGUGACAAUAAUGGGAUGAUUUGUGGAUUAAUAUUGGGGGUUGUGUAGUUUAAAUGGUUUGAGCAAAUUGUUGAAGGAGUUGGAGGAGUUAAAAGACUAAGAUGGUGAAGGAGAAAAUAUAAAUUUAAAUCUGAUUAUUAAUUUGUUUAUAAACCUCUAAAAAUAAUAAUUUGUCUAUUAGAAAUAACCAUUAUUGUCACUUUAAAAAUACACAUUUUUCCUAUUUUGAUGUAUAUAUGUAUGUAGUUUUUCCAAACUCCAAAAUUAAUAGUUAGCUUUAAUAUUUAACUAUUAAUUGUUUGUUUUUAAGAAAAAAAUAAUAUAAAUUUUUAAGUUUUGGGGGCAUUUUGCACAUAAGUGCAAAACUUCAGGGGGGGUACUUGCAAAACGUCACGUUCACUAACAGAAAAAUUUGACGGAGGGGGUAAAUUGACUAACGUUGUGAAAUUUCAGGCGGGUAAUUGAAGUUUUGUUAAUUUCAGGGGGGUAAUUGAUGAAACUUACAAUUUGAGGGGGAAAAUUGACUAUUUAAUCAAUUUUAAAUUACAUGGAUGAAAUCUAAACUUUUUUUACAGGGGAUAAACCGGAACUCGCCUAAAUUAUAGGAUAAAGACAUAUUAACCCUUUUAGCUUCUUUGAUUUACUUUGAGUUGGGGUGUGCUUGUUUUUUUGUGUUCCGUAUGAUUGUAAGGGUUGGUUUGGACUGAUUUUCACUUUUGCAGUCAUUUGUGCUUAUUCUGAUGUUUGAUGUUUGUUGGUGAUUGAUUAGUUUAUGAGGAUAAUAAAUGUGUGGUGUGGUGUGAUUAUUUUUGUUUUUUAUAUGUUUGUAACUUUGAAGCAAAAGGAUGGCUUCCUGGUGGGGAUUUUCAUUUUGGGUUUGAUGUUAUGUGCUGAGCUUGGUUUUUAGUCAAUUUUGCUAGUUCUAGUGUAUCAAAGGCAUGUGAUGUGUUACGGGGAAGGAAACUCUGGUUAUCUGGAGUUUGGUAGGAGGUAAGUAUAGUCUGACUAUCAAAUAUUGUUUCACCCAAGAAUCGUACUUGGGUUCACUCAUGAAUCCAAUGUUUAUGUUUUUUACAUUCUUUUCUUUCUUUUGGAUUGUGGGGUGUGCCUAUUUUUUUUUUGUCUUUUGUAUGAUUGUGCAAUAAAAAAGGAGGAUGGAAAUUAGACUUAGGGGUUUAGGCGUGUAGAUUAUGUACUAACAAAAGUAAAAUAAAUGAAGAGUAGUUAGGUCACUAUAGGUAGAAAAACUAAAAAUUAUUAAGAAAUAUUUAAAAAAUAAUUAGUUAGAUAGAAAUAUGGUAUAUGAUAGAGCAUUAUUGCAUCUUUUGAUCGAUGUAGCCAACCUCAAAGAUUUAAUUUUUUGCUUCUUUGAUUUACUUUGAAUGGUAUGCUUGUUUUUGUGUUUUUAUAUUUGCUAAUUACAUCACAAAUCUUUGCUGAUCCAUGGAACCUUUUCUUUCACAGGCUUUUAUUUUUAAAAGACAAAAUUACAUUAAUACUCAUAACACAAACUAUAAAUCAUAAGCUAUGCAAAAAAACUUGCACCACAAGCAAGCAGACAUAGUGAAUUUGUGAUACAUGACAUAUACCCUUAUGCAUAAAAAAAACAAGCAUUCCUCCACAGUCUAAUUACCAGCAAGCAUUCUUUCUUUUCCUUGUGACAUUUACAUGUGAUUCUUGGCAACAAGGCAAAGGUGAUUCUUCUUGUGUCUAGAAAGUCCUGGCAACCCUUCAGUGUCAAUAUCUUCCUUUGUCAUCCCUUCAGGCGUUUCCCAAUCAAAUGAAUUAAGAAGGUUUGCAAUUAUCAUUUCCACCGUGGCGAUUCCCAAUGGCAUGCCAGGGCAAAUUCUACGCCCUGCACCAAAUGGUAUCAACUCAAAAUCCCGUCCUUUAAAAUCUAUAUCAUUGUUUAAGAAUCUCUCUGGAUAAAACUCGUCGGGAUCUUUCCAUGCCUCGGGGUCCCUAUGAAUGGCCCAAAUAUUCACAAACACUGAUGUUUUUGGUUCUAUUUUAUGUCCAUUUAGAAUGAAACUUUUACUGGUCUCUCUUGGGGCUAGUGGUGCUGGUGCAUAGAAUCUUAAUGUUUCUUUUAUCACAGCCUUAAGAUAUACAAGCUUUUGAAUAUCAUCUUCAUCUAUGAACUCUUUUUUGCCACAUAUGUUUCUAAUUUCUUCUUGAGCUUUCUUCAUUGCUCUUGGAUUCUUCAUUAAUCCAGUCAUCGCCCAAACCGAUGUGGCUGAAGUUGUGUCGGUAGCUGCGACAAGUAGGUUCUGUGAUCAUCAAAAACCAAGAAACUACUUAGGGCUUAAUAUCAAUGUAGUAGUCAUAAUCUAGAAGUUAAUUGGAUGUUUGUCAAGAAACAAUUUAUCCUAAGAGCUUGCUUAAUAAAUAUGGUCAGUUGCAAUGUAUGCUUGUGCUACAAUUUCAGCUUAAUUUCCUAACAUGAAUGAUUUUUGAAGUGGAAAAAUAACAAGCAGCAAAAGAUAUUCCAAAGAGAGAUUAUACUUUGUUAUUACAUUAAUCAUUCCCACCUCAACUCACUGAGAGGUCUCUUAACUAAGGGUAACACUUUUUGAAACUUACAUAAGAGUCUUAUGAUAAGACCAAUAUCGAUAAAAAUGCGAGAAGGUGAACUUGAGGUCAAAACAUUGGUGCUAGAAGGAUGACUAUGUCUUAUACAAGGAUUAACAAAGCUUUUAAUUUCCUAAACUCAAUUGGGGGGCUAUUGAUUGAAACAACAAAAAAGUUCCACAUAAAUUAGAAAUCGAGGUUAUGAGUAGUUUAUAAAUAUUCACUCUCCCGCACACCUGAGAGUCUUUACACAAAACAUAAGUGGAAAUUACAUAAGACCAAAAGCGAACAAUAUAAUAAAAAUAGUGUUUGGAACAUACCAUAAGGACGGAUUUGAUGUGAUCAUUGGUGAGAUCAAUUGAGAGACGACCCUGAUUCUUUAACUCAAGUAACACGUCAACUAUAUCCUUCUCUUCUUCAUCUUUCUUCCGAUUAUUAGGAUUGAGAUGUUCUUGAAGGACUUGUUCAAGAAACUCAUCCAAAGCCUUGAAAGUCUUGUCAACACGAGCAUUUGCCCCAGUGAGUUUAUCAAUCCACCCCAUAAAAGGAAUAUGAUCUGAAACAAAGAAGGAAAGGAAAAUAGCUUCUGUCUCAUGAAGUAAAUUAUGGAACCUGCUUUUCUCACCCCCUUCAUGCUCAUAACUUUUUCCAAAAGCAAUUCUACAUACUAUAGAGCUUAAGACAGACAUUAGGAUCUCACUAAGGUUUGAAAUUUCAGAGGAAUGAACAUGGUUAGAUAUUUUUUCAAUCAUUUGCUUGACCUCAGAUUUUCUCACAUGAGAAAAGCUAGAAAUUUUUUUGGAGCUAAAGAAAUGGACAAUACAAAUUUUUCUUAUCUCUCUCCAAUGAUCAUUGUAUGGUGAAAAUAUCAUAUCCAUGCCAUUGUAUGACAAUAUUUGUGUACCAUAUGAUGGAGGUCUACUAGAUACAUCAUGGUCAUGAUCUUUGAGAAUUUCUUGAGCUAGUUUAGGUGAGCAAACAACAAUGGCUUUCUUGAAACCAAUUUGAAGAGAGAAAAGAGGACCAUAGAUUUUUGAGAGAUUCCAAAAUUGUAAAUGAAGAUUUG